Molecule: long non-coding RNA, 858 nt
Organism: Girardinichthys multiradiatus
Lineage: Eukaryota; Metazoa; Chordata; Actinopteri; Cyprinodontiformes; Goodeidae
Exons: 3
Source: RefSeq, a predicted model, not a curated record
CUAUGCUGCAUCAGCUUUUACAAAGAGUUAGGCAUAGAGUGAUUUCUACUCUCAGCAGGCAGCCCAUUGACUUUGACUAUUUGUACUUUGUUUGUUGUCAGGAGUUACAGUUUCUCAGAGCCGGAGCAGCUCAUGUUGACCUUGCGGAGUCAGUGGUUGAGAAUUUUCAGAGGUUGACUGAAGUUGUCAGUUCUUAUGCCUCAGCUCCAAGAUUAUUCGAUGUAGCUCAGGUUGAACACAGUGGGAAUGCAGGGAGACCCAAAGUCAACAUAGAAAGUGAAACUCUCACAGAUCUACUUAGUAGUGGUUUACCAUUGACUUCCUUAUGUAGCCUUUCUAGAAUUGCAAGGUCAACUUUGUAUAGACGUUUGAAAGAGCAUGAUCUAGCUGUAAGAAAAUGCUAUUCCAGCAUUUCAGAUGACUCAUUAGAACAGGUUAGGUGUAUAAAGACCAGAAUGCCAAAUGCUGGCUACAGAUGGGUCUCUUCAAGCAAUGGGUGUCCGGAUUCCUUGGAAGAGAGUGAAAAUGUCCUUGCAGCGUGUGGACGGAGCAGGACUUAUUGCCAGAAUGGUCCAGCUCCCUUAUCUCUUGUCCACGUUGAUACAAAUCAUAAGCUCAUCAGGUACAACAUUGUUGUGUUUGGAGCAAUUGAUGGUUUUUCAAGGAAGAUCUUUUACUUGGACACGGCUGGCAACAACAAGGCAGGGACAGCUUUUUGUUUCUUUAUGGAUGGGGUUUGUAAACAUGGAUGGCCAUCAAGGCAAGUUAAUUAAGGUUAAAAAAAGAUAAAGAUUGCGUAUGAUGUUCUUGAAUUACAUUGAUUUUGCAAAAUAUAACUUUCCACUUUGUCUUAUAGAG